Molecule: transfer RNA, 68 nt
Filed under: Chlamydoselachus anguineus (frilled shark)
Lineage: Eukaryota; Metazoa; Chordata; Chondrichthyes; Hexanchiformes; Chlamydoselachidae
Description: tRNA-Ser
Source: RNAcentral
AAGAGAGGUUUAGAACAUAAAGAACUGCUAAUUCUUUACUACCGUUGUUCAAAUCCACGGCUCACUUA